AUAAUAGCAAUGAUAAUGAAGAGUAAAUAGAAUUUUAAUUUAAAGAGAUCUAGGGAGGGUGUAAUCCUAGAAUUUAAAACUAUUGAAGGAAGCUUUGGAGUGAUAAAUAGAAAGCGUAAGCGUAGUAUAUUUAUGGGGUUAUUCCCUUAAAGAUAAUUAAGAGGGUUAAAUUAGGUUUAUUAAUAACAAAAGUUAAUAUGCUUAAAUUAAUCAAUUUAGGUGGUAACGCGGAAGUCAGCCUUUCGUCCUAAUU
RNAcentral lists this non-coding RNA (253 nucleotides) under Clostridium chromiireducens. Its description in RNAcentral is "T-box sequence". It matches the Rfam family "T-box leader". From Rfam's summary of the family: Uncharged tRNA acts as the effector for transcription antitermination of genes in the T-box leader family. T-boxes are found upstream of many aminoacyl-tRNA synthetase genes and some amino acid biosynthetic genes usually in Gram-positive bacteria. The anticodon of a specific tRNA base pairs to a specifier sequence within the T-box motif, and the NCCA acceptor tail of the tRNA base pairs to a conserved bulge in the T-box antiterminator hairpin. Lineage: Bacteria; Bacillati; Bacillota; Clostridia; Eubacteriales; Clostridiaceae. The record is from RNAcentral.